CCCAGUGGCGGCGACGGCGGCUGCCCAUUCUUUCCCCUCUUCUCCUGCUACUACCAGGCAACAUCGCGUCUGCUCUUUUGAUUACUCAAGUAGUCGAGCGGGGAGAGAGGACGGGAGGAGUAUCUUGUUUCAAUUUCUAACCUUUUAGAUACAGCUCCCUCUAGUUCGCUUCUUCAUUUUUUUCUGUUGGUCUCUUCGAUGAAUCAGCAGUGUACGUAGCUUAUCUUCUUACUGUACAUUUUAACUGUUUGCCAAUACAGACUAGAAUGUUUAGCUUGAGAAACUCCUGGUCGCUUGCAUUUACUUUAGAACGGGAAGGGGCUGCUAUCCGACGUCCUUUAAAGUUCAAUUCUGUUGUGGUUUGUGGUGUCAGGGGUCCAAGACCGAGAUAUCCCCGUGAGGUUCUUCUACAUUUCUCUGUUGCGAUUAUUAGUUGUGUCUAUACACUCCUGUGCACUGUUCUGUUGAGAUGCUAGAUUAAUUGAUUACAUGGGAACACAAUGUUCUCUAAUUUAGUCUUCUCCAGCAAAACUUUGGUUUUCAGUACUUGUGGCAAUUUCAAUUGUUAAAUCUGCCUGGUUUCGUCAAAAUGCUUUUAGUAAAUUGCAGUUGCAUUAACUGUAUGUCAAGUAAGAUGCAAAAGAAAAAAAAACUGUUGUAGGAUGCCUUUUACAAUUACACAUUUUUAUCUACCCGACGCUCAUUUGCCUGGAGUGUCUAAAACUAUCAGUCUUGUAUCAUCUUGUGUAGAUUAAAGAUUUGUUUAAUGUAAAGGAGAAAGUUUGUGGAGCUCUUGAUUCAUUAGUUGCAUGGGAACUGGAGUUUCCCUUAAUGGUAGUGAAGAAGGCACUAAAGACACUUGAAGAUAAAAAGGAAUGGAAAAGAAUAAUUCAGCAGGAGCAGUGUUUGGAGGACUUAGUUCAGACUUUCUCGAUCGCCAUCCGGUGCCAGUGAAAAGUCUCAGAAGACUCUCAAAACUGACUUGAUUUGAUUAGACACAGAUGGACAGAUUAUUAGUAGUUUCUUUCGGAUAUUUAGUUUUGUUCUGUGUGUAAUAUGUUAGCAUUUGAACCAUGUACAAGGA
Molecule: long non-coding RNA, 1084 nt
Organism: Phragmites australis (common reed)
Lineage: Eukaryota; Viridiplantae; Streptophyta; Magnoliopsida; Poales; Poaceae
Exons: 3
Source: RefSeq, a predicted model, not a curated record